UGGGGAAUAUUGCACAAUGGGCGCAAGCCUGAUGCAGCCAUGCCGCGUGUGUGAAGAAGGCCUUCGGGUUGUAAAGCACUUUCAGCGGGGAGGAAGGCGAUAAGGUUAAUAACCUUGUCGAUUGACGUUACCCGCAGAAGAAGCACCGGCUAACUCCGUGCCAGCAGCCGCGGUAAUACGGAGGGUGCAAGCGUUAAUCGGAAUUACUGGGCGUAAAGCGCACGCAGGCGGUCUGUCAAGUCGGAUGUGAAAUCCCCGGGCUCAAACUGGGAACUGCAUUCGAAACUGGCAGGCUAGAGUCUUGUAGAGGGGGGUAGAAUUCCAGGUGUAGCGGUGAAAUGCGUAGAGAUCUGGAGGAAUACCGGUGGCGAAGGCGGCCCCCUGGACAAAGACUGACGCUCAGGUGCGAAAGCGUGGGGAGCAAACAGG
This 429-nucleotide ribosomal RNA is filed under the name Chloroflexota bacterium. RNAcentral describes it as "Chloroflexi bacterium partial 16S ribosomal RNA". It matches the Rfam family "Bacterial small subunit ribosomal RNA", at positions 355 to 776 of the family's 1533-position model. The record is from RNAcentral. Lineage: Bacteria; Bacillati; Chloroflexota.